UCGAAAGUCCUGGACACUCCAACGUUUC
This 28-nucleotide non-coding RNA is filed under the name Rattus norvegicus (Norway rat). The record is from RNAcentral. Lineage: Eukaryota; Metazoa; Chordata; Mammalia; Rodentia; Muridae.